GACGGUGUAGCUCAGUGGUAGAGUGCAUGCUUCGUAUGCACAAGGUCUUGAGUUCAAUCUCAGUACCUCCA
RNAcentral lists this transfer RNA (71 nucleotides) under Camelus bactrianus (Bactrian camel). It matches the Rfam family "tRNA". From Rfam's summary of the family: Transfer RNA (tRNA) molecules are approximately 80 nucleotides in length. Their secondary structure includes four short double-helical elements and three loops (D, anti-codon, and T loops). Further hydrogen bonds mediate the characteristic L-shaped molecular structure. tRNAs have two regions of fundamental functional importance: the anti-codon, which is responsible for specific mRNA codon recognition, and the 3' end, to which the tRNAs corresponding amino acid is attached (by aminoacyl-tRNA synthetases). tRNAs cope with the degeneracy of the genetic code in two manners: having more than one tRNA (with a specific anti-codon) for a particular amino acid; and 'wobble' base-pairing, i.e. permitting non-standard base-pairing at the 3rd anti-codon position. The record is from Rfam by way of RNAcentral. Lineage: Eukaryota; Metazoa; Chordata; Mammalia; Artiodactyla; Camelidae. RNAcentral also lists the same sequence under 2 other names.